CCGAGGAUCUUCGGCAAUGAGCGAAAGCUUGACCGAGCGACGCCGCGUGCGGGAUGAAGGCCUUCGGGUUGUAAACCGCUUUCGUAGGGGAGGAAAUUUCGGUGGGAUCACUCAUCGAUUUGACCUAGCCUAGGAAGAAGGACGGGCUAAGUUCGUGCCAGCAGCCGCGGUAAUACGAACCGUCCAAACGUUAUUCGGAAUUACUGGGCUUAAAGGGUGCGUAGGUGGCCCGGGAAGUUGGGUGUGAAAGCCCUCGGCUCAACCGAGGAACUGCGCCCAAAACUGCCGGGCUCGAGGGAGAUAGAGGUGAGCGGAACUUAGGGUGGAGCGGUGAAAUGCGUUGAUAUCCUAAGGAACACCGGUGGCGAAAGCGGCCCACUGGGUCUCUUCUGACGCUGAGGCACGAAAGCUAGGGUAGCGAACGG
Molecule: ribosomal RNA, 425 nt
Filed under: uncultured bacterium
Lineage: Bacteria
Description: bacterial SSU rRNA
Rfam family: Bacterial small subunit ribosomal RNA
Source: RNAcentral